RNAcentral lists this ribosomal RNA (605 nucleotides) under uncultured Roseateles sp. RNAcentral's name for it is "bacterial SSU rRNA". It matches the Rfam family "Bacterial small subunit ribosomal RNA", at positions 74 to 675 of the family's 1533-position model. The record is from RNAcentral. Lineage: Bacteria; Pseudomonadati; Pseudomonadota; Betaproteobacteria; Burkholderiales; Sphaerotilaceae.
GGUAACAGGUUAAGCUGACGAGUGGCGAACGGGUGAGUAAUGUAUCGGAACGUGCCCAGUCGUGGGGGAUAACUGCUCGAAAGAGCAGCUAAUACCGCAUACGACCUGAGGGUGAAAGCGGGGGAUCGCAAGACCUCGCGCGAUUGGAGCGGCCGAUAUCAGAUUAGGUAGUUGGUGAGGUAAAGGCUCACCAAGCCGACGAUCUGUAGCUGGUCUGAGAGGACGACCAGCCACACUGGGACUGAGACACGGCCCAGACUCCUACGGGAGGCAGCAGUGGGGAAUUUUGGACAAUGGGCGCAAGCCUGAUCCAGCCAUGCCGCGUGCGGGAAGAAGGCCUUCGGGUUGUAAACCGCUUUUGUCAGGGAAGAAAAGGUUCUGGCUAAUACCUGGGACUCAUGACGGUACCUGAAGAAUAAGCACCGGCUAACUACGUGCCAGCAGCCGCGGUAAUACGUAGGGUGCAAGCGUUAAUCGGAAUUACUGGGCGUAAAGCGUGCGCAGGCGGUUAUGCAAGACAGAGGUGAAAUCCCCGGGCUCAACCUGGGAACUGCCUUUGUGACUGCAUGGCUAGAGUACGGUAGAGGGGGAUGGAAUUCCGCGUG